Molecule: non-coding RNA, 535 nt
Organism: Taeniopygia guttata (zebra finch)
Lineage: Eukaryota; Metazoa; Chordata; Aves; Passeriformes; Estrildidae
Source: RefSeq, a predicted model, not a curated record
AAGAGGCCGUCUGAAGACCCUCACUCAUUUGCCUGCCGAUUGCCAUGAGAAGGAGCUCCCUUCCCCCACAACAGUUCCGGCUUGGAGAAGGCAACAGUGCAGGUGCAGCCGCUGUACCGUUACGUUCUGUUCCGAACGAGGCCUGGCAAGAACUUGGCAAGGAGGUGGCAAGGACUUGGUGAAGACCCAGCAUGGACCCAGCACAGAGCGGCCUACUGCAAUUCCUGCUUCACUCUCCACUUUUAAGCCCAAUGAACUGUUGGGGUGACUCUGGUGGUCACUGCAGACCCCUCAUCUGCCUCGUUACCACCGUGACAGACGGAGAUCAAGAACACUCUCCCCAAGGACUGAGACUGAGACCCCUACCACAGAGAGUGGUGGUGGGGGCGGGUGGGGGAAUGACAUGACCUGUUCUUCUCCAGUAACUUCAAUGGACUUAUUCUUCAUUGUGUUUGUUCAGCCUGGAUGAUUUUCUGUAGAUACACCUGUUCCCCCAAUAGCAAUUUCAAUAGACUCUCAUUGUUCUUCAAAUGUU